Molecule: long non-coding RNA, 822 nt
Organism: Oreochromis aureus
Lineage: Eukaryota; Metazoa; Chordata; Actinopteri; Cichliformes; Cichlidae
Source: Ensembl
CAGAAUACAGGAAAUAGAUGCAGUGAUUUAUUAAUACACGUGCCAAUAUAAAUGGAAAUACAGUAUAUAAGGGGAAAAAAGAGUAUUUGGUGUGACAUGUAUUCUUUUUUGUAAUUUCUUUAAGUAGUCUUCAGGAAUACUUCUCCAGGCUUCUCGAAGGACAUUUAAAGCUCAUUUUCUUAUGCUGGCUGCUUUUUGUGGUGUCAAGAUGAUCACACACUGCUUCAUGUUGUGAAGCACAAAAGAGAAUAACAGGUUAGGAGGAUACCAGUCCAUAACUUCAGUGAACUGAACAUGGAUCAACUGAAGCGCCACAUCAGGUCCUGUUUCUGGUGUUUUUCUCCCAUUUCUUAAGGACAUGACUUUCAGACACUUUUCAUCUGCUGGAGAUCGUUUGGAGGAUUACAGCUGGCAGCUUACCAACUGUAGUGUGCACAGAUGGACCAGCAAGACCCAGAGUUUGCAGCUGGGUCCAAGUCUGUUUGUGCUACGAAGCGUGCAGAAAAUGAAGCUCUGGCACUCUGACUCUGCAGGAUUUUAAAAUGCGAAGCUGGCGGGAAAUGGAUGGAAAGGAAGAUGCCGCUGGCUGUUUGUUUUUGUUUAAUAUGAUGAAAUCAGCCUCCAGAUGGGAUCCUAGAAUGAUUACCAUAUGGGCCCACAGUGAUUUAUGAGACUCGUUGGCGCUGAAUGCCUCGGUAGCUCAGAUUCCACCUGCCAUCAACACAGACUGAUCACUCUGUCAUAUGAAGGAGGCAGUGAUGUGUACAUUUAUUUGAGAUGUCAAAGAGUGCGUUAAAGUGAAAUAAACCUAUUUUAUCUACA